GCUCCGCCCCUCGGCAGAAGCCCAGGCAUUGUGCGCGGCGGGAAGGAGCAGGAGCCGGAGCGGGCCAGUCCCCCGCCGGCCCUGGGUUCUGAAAGGGAGCCCACUUCCUCCUCUUCCCCCCGACAUUUCUAGGCACUCCGGUUCAGCCCCGCUCCGCCAGCAAACACACCCACACGCUGCUAAGGUCCAGACCCCGCCGGAUCUGGGGGGGCCGGGGGGGCCCCACUCCCCUGUUUCGUCCAGGCUCGCUCACCUACUCCAACCCGGAGGCAGGCGGACUUCCGAGUUGCUCUGAGCCCACCAGGCCCGCCCCAUCACCCCCCAAGGGAUGGAGGCUCAGCACCCGCAGAUGGCCCCCCCCACCCCCUGCAUCCCAGCCCGUCCCCAGGAAGUCAGCGACACAGCCCCUGCGUCCCGGGAACAAAGACAAAAGCGCUAACAGCAAAGCCGGAACUGCUGGGGUUUGCUGCCUCAAAAUAAGAGGCUUGAGGAACUUGGUCAGGCUGGCUUGCUUUUUACAACAACAGCAGCAGGCAGUGGACACAUUUCCCAACCGUCUCCAAGAAGAAAGAAAAUAAAUUGCAGUUUCCUCCAGACCACUGGGGCAGGAGGCUUUUGGAACUUUACAAACAAAACAAAACAAAACAAAA
Molecule: long non-coding RNA, 650 nt
Organism: Canis lupus familiaris (dog)
Lineage: Eukaryota; Metazoa; Chordata; Mammalia; Carnivora; Canidae
Exons: 2
Source: RefSeq, a predicted model, not a curated record